CCCCCGGUACCGUGCGGAUGUGCGACGGAGUCCACGGUUCCGGGAACUCCUGACAUCCUCCAUCGCACCGCCUGACCACAAUCACGCGGCCCAAACCACGGGAGAGAACGCUGAGCGUUACAAC
Corynebacterium glyciniphilum AJ 3170 is the source of this 124-nucleotide regulatory RNA element. It matches the Rfam family "atpB RNA". The record is from Rfam. Lineage: Bacteria; Bacillati; Actinomycetota; Actinomycetes; Mycobacteriales; Corynebacteriaceae.